RNAcentral lists this ribosomal RNA (471 nucleotides) under uncultured bacterium. Its description in RNAcentral is "bacterial SSU rRNA". It matches the Rfam family "Bacterial small subunit ribosomal RNA", at positions 335 to 798 of the family's 1533-position model. The record is from RNAcentral.
ACUCCUACGGGAGGCAGCAGUAGGGAAUUUUCCGCAAUGGACGAAAGUCUGACGGAGCAAUGCCGCGUGAGUGAUGAAGGUUUUCGAAUUGUAAAGCUCUGUUGUAAGGGAAGAAUAGCAAGAAUAGGAAAUGAUUCUUGUCUGACGGUACCUUACCAGAAAGCCACGGCUAACUACGUGCCAGCAGCCGCGGUAAUACGUAGGUGGCAAGCGUUAUCCGGAAUUAUUGGGUUUAAAGGGUCCGUAGGCGGAUUAAUAAGUCAGUGGUGAAAUCCCAUCGCUUAACGAUGGAACUGCCAUUGAUACUGUUAGUCUUGAAUGAGGGUGCAGUGGUUGGAAUGUGUAGUGUAGCGGUGAAAUGCAUAGAUAUUACACAGAACACCGAUUGCGAAGGCAGAUCACUAACCCUAAAUUGACGCUGAGGGACGAAAGCGUGGGGAGCGAACAGGAUUAGAUACCCUGGUAGGAUAG